GAUGAACGCUGGCGGCGUGCCUAAUACAUGCAAGUCGAGCGAACAGACGAGGAGCUUGCUCCUCUGACGUUAGCGGCGGACGGGUGAGUAACACGUGGAUAACCUACCUAUAAGACUGGGAUAACUUCGGGAAACCGGAGCUAAUACCGGAUAAUAUAUUGAACCGCAUGGUCCAAUAGUGAAAGACGGUUUUGCUGUCACUUAUAGAUGGAUCCGCGCCGCAUUAGCUAGUUGGUAAGGUAACGGCUUACCAAGGCAACGAUGCGUAGCCGACCUGAGAGGGUGAUCGGCCACACUGGAACUGAGACACGGUCCAGACUCCUACGGGAGGCAGCAGUAGGGAAUCUUCCGCAAUGGGUGAAAGCCUGACGGAGCAACGCCGCGUGAGUGAUGAAGGUCUUCGGAUCGUAAAACUCUGUUAUUAGGGAAGAACAAAUGUGUAAGUAACUAUGCACGUCUUGACGGUACCUAAUCAGAAAGCCACGGCUAACUACGUG
RNAcentral lists this ribosomal RNA (497 nucleotides) under uncultured bacterium. RNAcentral describes it as "partial 16S ribosomal RNA". It matches the Rfam family "Bacterial small subunit ribosomal RNA", at positions 28 to 507 of the family's 1533-position model. The record is from RNAcentral.